ACGCUGGCGGCGUGCUUAACACAUGCAAGUCGAACGAGAGCGUAGAGAAAGCUUGCUUUUUCUACAAUCUAGUGGCAAACGGGUGAGUAACGCGUAAACAACCUGCCCUACGGAUGGGGACAACAGCUGGAAACGGCUGCUAAUACCGAAUACGUUCCGAAAGUCGCAUGACUGUCGGAAGAAAGGAUGGCCUCUAUUUAUAAGCUAUCGCCGGAGGAGGGGUUUGCGUCUGAUUAGCUAGUUGGAGGGGUAACAGCCCACCAAGGCGACGAUCAGUAGCCGGUCUGAGAGGAUGAACGGCCACAUUGGAACUGAGACGCGGUCCAGACUCCUACGGGAGGCAACAGUAGGGAAUCUUCCGCAAUGGGCGAAAGCCUGACGGAGCAACGCCGCGUGAGUGAAGACGGCCUUCGGGUUGUAAAGCUCUGUUAUACGGGACGAAUAGUCUUGUGGUUAAUACCCAUGAGAAGUGACGGUACCGUAAGAGAAAGCCACGGCUAACUACGUGCCAGCAGCCGCGGUAAUACGUAGGUGGCAAGCGUUGUCCGGAAUUAUUGGGCGUAAAGGGCGCGCAGGCGGCUUCUUAAGUCUGUCUUAAAAGUGCGGGGCUUAACCCCGUGAUGGGAUGGAAACUGGGAAGCUCAGAGUAUCGGAGAGGAAAGCGGAAUUCCUAGUGUAGCGGUGAAAUGCGUAGAUAUUAGGAGGAACACCAGUGGCGAAAGCGGCUUUCUGGACGAAAACUGACGCUGAGGCGCGAAAGCCAGGGGAGCGAACGGGAUUAGAUACCCCGGUAGUCCUGGCCGUAAACGAUGGGUACUAGGUGUAGGAGGUAUCGACCCCUUCUGUGCCGGAGUUAACGCAAUAAGUACCCCGCCUGGGGAGUACGGCCGCAAGGUUGAAACUCAAAGGGAAUUGACGGGGGCCCGCACAAGCGG
RNAcentral lists this ribosomal RNA (935 nucleotides) under uncultured bacterium. RNAcentral's name for it is "bacterial SSU rRNA". It matches the Rfam family "Bacterial small subunit ribosomal RNA", at positions 33 to 932 of the family's 1533-position model. The record is from RNAcentral.